RNAcentral lists this long non-coding RNA (1527 nucleotides) under Strigops habroptila (Kakapo). Its description in RNAcentral is "lncRNA (ENSSHBG00005004490.1)". Lineage: Eukaryota; Metazoa; Chordata; Aves; Psittaciformes; Psittacidae. The record is from RNAcentral.
UUUUUUUUUUUUUUUUUUUGUGUAGCUUAAUUGAAAUCCGAGUUUCAAAAAGUGCUAGUGGUUUCAACAUGGCCUAGUCUUUUCCUGUGUAUGUUACUGGUUGGUGGCCUAGCUAUAUGUCAUGUUCAACACUCAUUAAAAGGUAGUUAAUAGGUGUCAGUGUCUAGGGACAUGAAGGUGGGAGAAAAGUAGUGCUCAGCAUUUUUUCCGUUUGGGAGGGGAGAACAGAAAAGAGGAGAAAGAAGACAUUUUUCCUCAUGACUCAUUUUCUUGGUUUGUGUCUGUCUGAAAUGCUAGUUAAGGUCUUUAUGGGAUCUUAAGAUGGACAGGAGUUAAUUUGAGAGUACUUAAAUAGGGAGUUACUUAAAGUUCUCCAGAAACGUAUGAGGAGCAGCAGAAGAGCUGGAUAACUCAUCAGGAUGUAGCUCAUAGUAUUUUCUUGUCUGAAGUUGAACUUAGUGCUAAGGAUGUGAAAGUCAGUACGAAACACCUAAAAGUUUAGUCCUUCCUCAAUAUUUUCUCACAAUUAAUUUGGAGCUUUUAGCUGUAGUCAAGCACUUCAUGGUUAAAUUAGUUUUUAAAUACCUGUUCCCAUAAAUGAUCUUCUACAGUUAAUGAUAAUAAACUGUUUAUAAAGAAACAAAGUAUUCUAGGCAGAUCAGGUUCUCAGGAGAUGUGGUUUGUCCACGUUUACUGUGUGUAUUUAAUGUGAAGAACAAAAAAAAAAAAAAAAUCGGUAAAAUACAGGAUUUUAACCCAGGUUGAUUGCUGACUUAAGCUAACUCUGAUUUGUAAGUAAUUAGUCAUGGGGGUUUCCUGCAUUAGGAUAAAAGAUCAGUGACAGGAACAAUGCGAAUGUGUGGUCCCAGGUGAUGAUGAAAUGCAGGUAGGUAGAUAGCGCAUUACUUGCUUUACUGCUAGUAGAAUUUUGGUUAGUGUCAAAUUUUAAUUCAUAGUGGGCUUUCUUGAUUGGGGAGGAUAGUUAGGUCCUGAGAACAUCUGCUCACUUUAAAAUGUCUGAAAACUUUGAUAACAAAUUUUACUUGAAUGCGUCUUGAAAAAAUGCGAAGUUUUGCCAUACAUCCAUCUAAUGAAUGCAGAUUAAUAAUCUCAUGAGAUUUCCUUCCCAUCCCCCAAACAAUAAUCUUUUUGGGUUUGUGCAAGAUACUCUUGAGUCAAGUCAUCCUGACACCAGCCUUAUGAUGAUUACUGAGGUUUGUGCUGGUGUGGUUUUUGGUCAGUUAUUGAUUACAGACGUUAAUAACUCAUAUUGUUCUAACCAAGCAGAAACAAUUCAUUCUUUAUAAUGAGGUCACUGAACUCCUACUUUGUAAUCAUUGACAGGGGAUGAAAUUUUAUGUCGAAAACAUACUGUACCUAACACAUCCUGUGGUGAUUUGUUCUUGUUGGUUUUGGGGGGUUUGGUUGGCGUUUUGGGGUUUUGUUUUGGUGGGGUUUUUUUUUUGGGGAGGGGGUUGCUUUGUUUUUUUAAGGAUCGUAUGAAAACGUUAUAAAACAGUAGGCCUA